This 66-nucleotide transfer RNA is filed under the name Leptodius exaratus. Its description in RNAcentral is "tRNA-Ser". The record is from RNAcentral. Lineage: Eukaryota; Metazoa; Arthropoda; Malacostraca; Decapoda; Xanthidae.
GGAGUAUUAGGUCAAGAAUGAAACUUCUAAUUUUAUUUUAAGCGGUUGAACUCCGUUUAUACUCCU